UUUCCAAUUCAUCAUAUCAUUUAAGACAUAUAAGACAUAUUUGACAUACAGAUGGCUUAUUUACAAAUUUCAUUUUAGAUUUCGUUCUAAUACAUCCUAACCGGACAUUUAAGACAUACCAA
This is a long non-coding RNA of Notothenia coriiceps (black rockcod), 122 nucleotides long. RefSeq lists it as uncharacterized. The transcript has 2 exons. Lineage: Eukaryota; Metazoa; Chordata; Actinopteri; Perciformes; Nototheniidae. The record is from RefSeq and is a predicted model, not a curated record.